This 387-nucleotide ribosomal RNA is filed under the name Reticulitermes flaviceps. Its description in RNAcentral is "partial 16S rRNA". The record is from RNAcentral. Lineage: Eukaryota; Metazoa; Arthropoda; Insecta; Blattodea; Rhinotermitidae.
CUUUUCUUGUUAGUUUUUGAAGUAUGGCCUGCCCGCUGACUUUGGUGUUGAAGGGCCGCGGUAUUUUGACCGUGCAAAGGUAGCAUAGUCAUUAGUUCUUUAAUUGUGAUCUGGUAUGAAUGGCUUGACGAGGCAUGGGCUGUCUUAAUUUUGAAUUGUUUAUUGAAUUUGGUUUUUGAGUUAAAAUUCUUAGAUGUUUUUAUGGGACGAGAAGACCCUAUAGAGUUUAACAUUUGCUAUGGUCCUCUUUCUGUUUGUGAGGGUUCACUGGGCCAUUUAAUAUGUUUUGUUGGGGUGAUGGGAGGGAUUAAUUUAACCCCUCCUUUUGUUAUUAUAUUUAUUUAUAUUUACUUGAUCCAUUUAUUUUGAUUGUAAGAUUAAAUUACC